Podarcis lilfordi (Lilford's wall lizard) is the source of this 80-nucleotide non-coding RNA. Lineage: Eukaryota; Metazoa; Chordata; Lepidosauria; Squamata; Lacertidae. The record is from the annotation of a GenBank genome assembly.
CCUGCGGUAGCUCAGUUGGUAGAACACGAGACUCUUAAAUCGCUGGGUUGUGGGUUCGAGUCCUGUGUUGCAUUGCAGGG